This 292-nucleotide ribosomal RNA is filed under the name uncultured bacterium. RNAcentral's name for it is "partial 16S ribosomal RNA". It matches the Rfam family "Bacterial small subunit ribosomal RNA", at positions 505 to 796 of the family's 1533-position model. The record is from RNAcentral.
GUGUCAGCCGCCGCGGUAAUACGGAGGAUGCAAGCGUUAUCCGGAAUGAUUGGGCGUAAAGGGUCCGCAGGUGGUACUGUAAGUCUGCUGUUAAAGAGUCUAGCUCAACUAGAUAAAAGCAGUGGAAACUACAGAACUAGAGUGCGUUCGGGGCAGAAGGAAUUCCUGGUGUAGCGGUGAAAUGCGUAGAUAUCAGGAAGAACACCGGUGGCGAAAGCGUUCUGCUAGGCCGCAACUGACACUGAGGGACGAAAGCUAGGGGAGCGAAUGGGAUUAGAAACCCCUGUAGUCC